Molecule: ribosomal RNA, 465 nt
Filed under: uncultured bacterium
Lineage: Bacteria
Description: partial 16S ribosomal RNA
Rfam family: Bacterial small subunit ribosomal RNA
Source: RNAcentral
GACGAACGCUGGCGGCGUGCUUAACACAUGCAAGUCGAACGGAAAGGCCCUGCUUGCAGGGUACUCGAGUGGCGAACGGGUGAGUAACACGUGGGUGAUCUGCCCUGCACUUCGGGAUAAGCCUGGGAAACUGGGUCUAAUACCGGAUAGGAGCCAUUUUUAGUGUGAUGGUUGGAAAGUUUUUUCGGUGUAGGAUGAGCUCGCGGCCUAUCAGCUUGUUGGUGGGGUAAUGGCCUACCAAGGCGGCGACGGGUAGCCGGCCUGAGAGGGUGGACGGCCACCAUGGGACUGAGAUACGGCCCAGGCUCCCACGGGAGGCAGCAGGGGGGAAUAAUGCACCAUUGGCGGAAGCCUGAUGCAGCGACGCCGCGUGGGGGAUGACGGCCUUCGGGUUGUAAACUCCUUUCGCUAGGGACGAAGCUUUUUGUGACGGUACCUAGAGAAGAAGCACCGGCUAACUACGUG